UUGAUAAUUGCUGUAUCAAGUGCAGAGCAGUCAUACAUACUGUUUUGAAGAGGGAAUUGGGUGAGAAUCCCAAGCGAACCGGUCACUGUGUUCAGAGAGCGGACUCCAAUAUGUCAUUGCGUCACCCAUGACGCGAGAAGGCGGAGCGAGCGCAGACCUGUAAGUCAGGAAACCUGCUUGAUAUAUGAGAUGUGC
RNAcentral lists this non-coding RNA (195 nucleotides) under Marvinbryantia formatexigens. The record is from RNAcentral. RNAcentral also lists the same sequence under 1 other name. Lineage: Bacteria; Bacillati; Bacillota; Clostridia; Lachnospirales; Lachnospiraceae.